CCAUUAGGUGUCGCACUCUCGUCAGCCUGUGCCUCCAUAAAAGGGAAGCUGGAAGGGUGGUGGCCAGGUGUCGAUUUCCUGUGUGUUAGACCGGCUGUGUGUUGGGCCCACGCUGUUUGCUGGCUGUGGACUGCAUUGUUGAUGGUGUUCGGCUGGUAGCGUUACCUGGGCGUGGGUGUUCGACGCCGCAGGGUUGCACCAGAUUGGAUACACCAAGAUUUGAUUUGGAAGUGUUGAUUUAUGCAAUGCAGUUUUUGCACUGCCUCCUGCUGUCCCUUUUAG
Long non-coding RNA from Xiphophorus hellerii (green swordtail), 282 nucleotides. RefSeq lists it as uncharacterized. The transcript is spliced from 4 exons. Lineage: Eukaryota; Metazoa; Chordata; Actinopteri; Cyprinodontiformes; Poeciliidae. The record is from RefSeq and is a predicted model, not a curated record.